GUUCCCACUGCUGUGAGAUUCCAAUGGAGGCAGAGCUGACAGGAGGCGGAGCUGAGGCGGCACAUGGAAGAACUGCACUUCUCUGCACUUCUGUUUAGAGGUGAUUAUGUGACAGGCUUCAGUGAAUAAAAUAGAAAUACAGAAUGUUCUGGAAGACCAAGAAGGUGGAGAAGGAGGAGGCUCAUACAAUCUAAUUUGACAGGAACAGAAACUAGUCUUCAUGACAGCACAUAGUUCUCGAAAAUGAAUAAAGGAAGAGGAAACUACGCCUUCCAGAUAUGCCUGGUACACAGUAGGACUUCAGUUCAUCAUUGUUGAAUGAAUGAAGGGAGUGAAGAAAUACUAAAUGCAGAUGCAGGAAAAUAAACUAUCAUGAGGUUCUUCCCUUGAA
Molecule: non-coding RNA, 391 nt
Organism: Macaca mulatta (Rhesus monkey)
Lineage: Eukaryota; Metazoa; Chordata; Mammalia; Primates; Cercopithecidae
Source: RefSeq, a predicted model, not a curated record